UGUUUGUCAUACAAAGUACUAUACAAAGUUCUCACAAAGUUGUUGCGCGCUAUUUUAAAAUUAAACUCAUCAUAUUGUUGAUAAAACCUAAACAACGAAAGUACAACCAUCACGGAACGAGGAUUUAUCAAGGUCGAUAGUUCAAAUUUGCCAAGAAUAAACUUGUUGAUGCUGGCAGCAUUUUUUGCAACAAUGACUUUGCUCGACUACAUUACAAAAUAUCUUCACGACCAUAUGGUGAUGACGCUGUGAGCUACGCACAGCUUAGACGUGAAGGGAAAUUGUAUAGUGUAGUGUAAAAUUUGUCCUGAGCUUAAGGUUCAUGCCAAGUUGUAUGUUGUGUCAUAUUAAUAGUAGAUGAAAAGGAAGCUGUUGUUGCUAUAGAAUAUAACGACUGUACGUUCUACGAAGCUUCUCAAGGAGGCUGCAAGCAUUAUAUAGCAUUGCUGUAUGCAUGGAGAUACAAAAAAAAAAAAAAAUGCAGAGACAGCUGUGGAAUGUUACUGAAAAAAAAAAUUAUCAAGUCAAAACUGUCCUAAGUUCGAGCUAGCUUGAAGUAUAUGUCAACAAAGUACAUGUAAAAAAAAAAAAUAAAAUAAAAAAAAAAAAAACUAGCUUACCAUCAAACAAUAGAGCAUUUGAAUAAAGUGUAAAAAAAAAAGCCGUUGUAAAAUGAGUGAUCGGACUCUUAUAGCCCAGAUUCCAUUGGCCAUGAAACAUGGUAGGUUAUUAAAAGAUUAAGUGAGAAAACCUGUCAGUAUAAGUUACGCAAGUAAAUUUCAAAGUAUGGGCUCAUGCUGUCCGAAGAGUAUCCAAUGAUAGCAGGUUCACCGGAUUUGUGAGGAUCACAUUAUUGAGAUUAAGUGUGCCUCAAGUACAAAAAUUCAUCGACGUUAUGUUAAGAAUUGCAAACCCAUUGAAAAAUAUAACAAAUGUAAAAUUCUGUUUUAGUUAAAAAAAAAAAAAAUUGUAAGUUGUACAGAUGUAAAUAAAAUGCACAAAUUAUAGUGUUAUACAUAGUUUUAUUUAAUGAGUGAACCUUGUAAAUAUAUAAAAGCGCAUGCAAUCACAAUAAUGUCAUCAAGAACUUUAAUAAGACUUGUAUUAAGACAUGCAUGAAGCUUUGACACAUUAAACUCCCUUAAAUGUUAAUAAAUAACUUGUUCAGCGUUUUUAUCGUUGUAUUAGUACAUUUGGGGACCACACGCCAUCGAAAUACAUUGAGUUUCAUGAUUAUUGUAUCAAAAU
Long non-coding RNA from Galleria mellonella (greater wax moth), 1248 nucleotides. RefSeq lists it as uncharacterized. The record is from RefSeq and is a predicted model, not a curated record. NCBI's taxonomy places the organism in Eukaryota, Metazoa, Arthropoda, Insecta, Lepidoptera, Pyralidae. The transcript has 2 exons.